AGUAAGAUUUGUGGAGGAGCAGCAUGUGGAUUUUCAGAUGCUGGAACCAGUUCUAAAGAUGCGAAAGAACGGUCAGCAUCGAUGCGGAAGCUUUUGAUGGCAGUUGUACUUUGUAUUGUCUUCAUGAGCGUAGAAGUUGUUGGAGGAAUCAAAGCCAAUAGUCUUGCCAUCUUGACAGAUGCAGCUCAUUUGUUAUCAGAUGUUGCAGCCUUUGCAAUCUCCUUGUUUUCACUUUGGGCAUCAGGAUGGGAGGCAACCCCACGUCAGUCUUAUGGUUUUUUUAGGAUUGAAAUACUUGGUGCACUGAUUUCCAUCCAGAUGAUAUGGCUUC
Molecule: unclassified non-coding RNA, 331 nt
Filed under: Hevea brasiliensis (rubber tree)
Lineage: Eukaryota; Viridiplantae; Streptophyta; Magnoliopsida; Malpighiales; Euphorbiaceae
Source: RNAcentral